AACAUCGAUCGGCACUGCAUAGCAUUGAUCCCACGGCUCAACAAUCAACAUCAUGAGGUUCUUCGCUGCAGUUUUGAUCCUCUUUCUGGUUUUCCUUCCUUUCCAUUCAGGUGAAAGCAACACGAAAAUCUGCAGGGAUAGUACUAAUGUUCCCGCGGAGCUGUCGACUCCUUGCAAGUUACCACAAUGUAAUCAGUAUUGCGCAGAGCAGCACCCUCACCCCAAGGGUUGGGGAAAUUGCGUAAACGAUGCCUGCCGGUGCUCUUAUCUUUGCGACAGUAAUUAAUGAUGCUUCAAAACACGAGCUCCAGCUCGAUCUAUAAUGUGGCUGGCUUUGUCUCUAAUAAUAUAUAGCACAUCUAUUACGUAUUGGACUCGUGCCAAUUAAUUGUCAAAGUUGGUUGA
This is a long non-coding RNA of Juglans regia (Persian walnut), 405 nucleotides long. RefSeq lists it as uncharacterized. NCBI's taxonomy places the organism in Eukaryota, Viridiplantae, Streptophyta, Magnoliopsida, Fagales, Juglandaceae. The transcript is spliced from 2 exons. The record is from RefSeq and is a predicted model, not a curated record.